GCCCACUAUCCACACGAUAGCUUUCCAGAGUUGUCUCCCCAAUAACGCCUCUCACCUCUUCCUCCCGAAAGAUCGAGUGGGCGGGCAUCAUCUUCAUCCACCGCUUAGUUCUAUUUUGCCUAAUCCAAUCGCUUUGACGGAGCUGCCAGGGAGAGCAAAUCCCCAACGCCUCUCCCGCUAUCGCCCGACCUACCUCCAGCUCUCCUCCUACCACUCCUUGUCCGCCUCUCCACCGCAUCACUGGGUGGCGUGGUUCCUGGCAGGGCAGCGGCCUCAGCGGGGACGGCAGCAUGCGGCGGCCUCGGGGCGGAGCACGCGCGGGCCAGGGACGGCGACCGACGGGCGGGGCAGGUGCGUGCCGGCGGCGACGCCAUUGGGACGGAGAAGGCACGGUCCUGGGACGACGUUGGGGCGGCGGCAGCGAUCUUGGGGCAGAGCACGCGCGGGCUGGCGGCGGCCACGUUGGGGUGGAGCAGGCAGGGACCUGCGGCGGCCCCGUCGGAGUUGAGCAAGCAAGCAAACAGAGGCGUCCGACGCGGAUUACGGGAGCCGGUCGUGGUCGUCGCCCCUGGUGCGUUGCUCGCUGCCGCGCCAUGGAGGUUGCCACAAGUGUACACACGGCGGUGCCCUCUACAGCAGGCAACCCGCGCCUCCUCGGCCCCGCGGCGGACUCAGCCCUCUCGGUUCCCCGGCGGCCGGAGCGUCUUCCGAUGCCCUGCAGCCGGCACGUCCGUGACAGCCGACGGCUCCUCGCCUCCCAUACCGCUGGGUGUCCUCUGAUGCGCGGCGGCCGGCGUCUGCUCUGAUGUGCGACGUACGCUGCGUCCUUGGCUCCCCGGCAGUUAGAGCUUCAUCUGAUGCGCGGCGGUCGAUGCCUCCUUGGCUCCCCGGUGACCGGUUACUUCUUCAUGGCGAGCUGCAGCUGCAGUGAUUGUCGGCAUGUCUGGACUCCACAGCAAGCGGUAGCGGAAGAUGGCUCUACAUCGGCGAAGAGGAGGGGCGCGAGGUUGACAGCUGUGACGGAGUGGACAACAUGACCGUGUGCUCACCGGUGACGUAGUCGGCGGUAAGAGCAAUAGUGGCGGCACCACUUCGACGCUUUGCAACUGUGGUUCUCCUCCGAUACCUGCAUUAUCUCUCCCUAUGAAUCCCCCUUGCAGGCCCUCUCCCCUCGCGAUUUCUCUAUGGCAAAUAUUGUUCUCCUCUUCUUCCCUGAAUCAGGCGAUGUCUGCAGGCCAGACUCCACUAUAGAGCAAAUCCUUGAUAUUCAAGCUAAGCGGUCAAUUUUGAGAUGGUAUAUGCAAGACCUACCGCGAGGCCAAGAUCCAACACAGAAAAAGAACCGCAAAGACAACCAUGGUAUAAAUUAUCUGGAUUGAUAGGUAUUGCUACAUGGACCGUAAAUAUGGUGAAGGUAUAAUGCAUAAAGAUUGGGAAACAAACCUCUUGGAUUUGGUUGAGAAAUAUUAUCUAUAAUUUCAAAAGAUGGGAUUGAAAUCUGUAGCUGAGUCAUCAUUUGCUUACUCUUGGAUGUGUUCGCUUCUCAGAUUUCAUGUACAGGUAAAAUUUGGUUUCAGAUAACCAGCUUUCUGUCAUAGACCUCUUCUAGGUGCUGAAGACAUACUAAUAUGUUCUGUACUGAUCAUAGCUGUUAAAGAAUUUGCUUUGCUCUAUAGAAUAAAUUUUCACGUGAAGAGAUAUCUUGCCUGUAGGUCAACCACCAAAACCAAACUACUAAAUUUGUUUCUGAGAUUUUAUCCUAGAUUAUCAUAUAUCUAUGCCACUAGAACCUCCUUAUUUAAUUUGCAUCUUAGACUUCCAUACCUAAAACAAAAUCAAACGUUUCUCAUAUUUGAGGAUGUCAUAUAGCAUGCUCCGAGGUAUUCCAUACCUAAAACAAAAUCAAACGUUUCUCAUAUUUGAGGAUGUCAUAUAGCAUGCUCCAAGGUAUAGUGGUAUGGUUAGUAAAUGUAUGGUUACUGUACAUUGCCAUAGAUGAAUAUUCACCCUGAUUUACACUGGCACAAUUUGGUUGUUUAAGCACAACAAGUGGUAUGGCAUCUACACUCUUUUCUUGGUACAACAAAGUCUUCUGGAUAAUUCUAGGUAAAUUCUUAGAAGCCUUGUUCUUAUAUGUGUGAGUGUAGAUAGUGUUAUGCUAUACCAGGUUCAGAUUAAGAUUAGUCUGAUGCAAAAGACUGUAGACAUACUUACAAAUCUAUCGUUAAUGCUUAGUGUUAUUUAUUAUUUUCUCGGUGCUGCCUGCUUCUCUGCUCCAUUCGCUGCCUAUUUAUUAUCUUUAUUUGCCAUGCCAGCACAAAGAUGUAGUAUCUGGCUGGAAAAAAUUGUGCAGGCAUCCACAUAAUUAGUAUACCCAUUUUGUAUAUGGUUCUUAGACUUAUUUAGGUCAGGUAAAACUCCUUUUGGCAUAUGAUGUGCAGGCAAAAGUUAUUCAUUUGGUGUUUCACUGGCUGACAUGUAAAUUGCUAUAUUUUCAUAUUAUCUAUGGCCAUUAAUGUGAAAAUUGGAGGAUAGGUUCAACCUUUUCUUCCUAUUCCCUCGGUAUGAUAGUAUAUUUGUUCUCAUUGGUUGAUUUUUCAACUUAGCAGCGCAUCAAAGCUAUGAAAAGAAGGCAUGGCAGGGUCUCCACAGGACAACCAUUGUCGAAUGCAUCUUGCAUCUGGUAUCUCCUCCCUUUGCUAUUUCUGUAUUAAUUGAUUUAUUUGUUCCUGUUCGAUUGGGGUCUUUCUCACUGAUUCGUCAGUUUUGUUUCCAUAUGGGUAUAUGCUUGCGUAUGGCCUUGACAACAACACUAGACUGGUGCACUCUUAAAAAAACCCGCCAGAGAAUUACUUCGCGUUCCAGUUUCUAGAUGUGAACAUAUUAAAAUAUCGGAUGUGACCAUCUCCCUCUCACCGGUUCACUACUUUCCCUCCGGUUCACUACUUCCCUUCAUGAACUCUUAUUUCUCUAAAUCCUUGGAUAUAUGUUGUAGGAUCAAACACCCAAAAAAUUGAAUCCCAAAAAGUGGGCUUUAUUAAAGCAUUGAUUCAUAAUAACCUUCUAAAUAUUCCAAAAUCUGAAAAUUGUUACUUGAAUGAAAUUAUUAAUGUCUUGUUUGUUCAUAGAUGUCCAAGUGGUACUCAUCUUUUGUUUUCUGUUUCUGUCUUGCAGCUAGCUGUUUAAUUACUUUUUAUGAUGCUUUCUCUAAUAUACAAUGGUACACGUUUGCUGUGUGUUUGGCACGUAAAAGGAAGAUAAGUCUGUAGCUUGAUGAUGAGUUUUCAGCUCCCAGUGCAGAUUUCUUCAAGUUUGGGGAUUUGUAAUCACCAGGAGAAUAAACCUACAAUUCACUUCCGCAUGCAUGCAUCUCUAUAGCAUAUGUUGUUGACUGAAUCAAGAAAUUUCCUUCUUCAUGUCGCAUAAUAACACUAUGAAACCAAGUUGUUUACAGGAGAUCAUCGUAACUUAGAAAACCUAAAAGAUUACUGCUAGCUGCAUGAUUAUCAGAAAAGCCUAACACAAAUUCUAUCACUUGGGAGGCUUCUCAUUGUUUAGCAUUGAUGUUUAGAUCAUUGUUAGAUGGCUCAACUAUUUAGAGUAUUGUUUGCUUAGCAGGUUAAACUGAUACAGUAAAACACAAACUCUGUCAUAUGUUUUACAAAUGCUGAGCCUGACCAAAAUCAGUUGAGUUAGAAGGGCAUCAACUCUUUUUCUACUAGAGUAUUGUUUGCUUUGCAGGUUAAACUGAUACAGUUAAACACAAACUCUGUCAUAUGUUUUACAAAUGCUGAGCCUGACCAAAAUUAGUUGAGUUAGAAGGGCAUCAACUCUUUCUCUAUUAACAACUUUAUUUGCUCUAAUUGAUGAUCAAUUUUUUCUCGAUAUCUCAAGGCAUGGAAGGCCAAAUGAUGCCAAAGGAAGUUAUGCAGUAAUGCUCUCCGUGCCAGUUCGGAAAGUAGCAUCAGUUGGCAAUUAUGGAUGUUGUUGUUGCAUGUUGUAUCAAAUUUAUUUGUGUGUAGGCAGUAAUUUGUCAAUGAUAUCUAUGCAUUUUCUGUUCUUAUAUCUUCCACGUACCUCUUAUGUAGAGUACCCUUGGGUGAGGAUAUAGUUGUGGUCUUCCUAUUUUUGGUGGAAGUAAUGAAUUAUGAAGAAUAAAUUUUAAAUUUUAAAUAUCCA
Molecule: long non-coding RNA, 4179 nt
Organism: Lolium perenne
Lineage: Eukaryota; Viridiplantae; Streptophyta; Magnoliopsida; Poales; Poaceae
Source: RefSeq, a predicted model, not a curated record